This 433-nucleotide ribosomal RNA is filed under the name uncultured bacterium. RNAcentral's name for it is "partial 16S ribosomal RNA". It matches the Rfam family "Bacterial small subunit ribosomal RNA", at positions 29 to 507 of the family's 1533-position model. The record is from RNAcentral.
AACGAACGCUGGCGGCAUGCCUAACACAUGCAAGUCGAACGAGACCUUCGGGUCUAGUGGCGCACGGGUGCGUAACACGUGGGAAUCUGCCCUUUGCUUCGGAAUAACAGUUAGAAAUGACUGCUAAUACCGGAUGAUGUCGAAAGACCAAAGAUUUAUCGGCAAAGGAUGAGCCCGCAUAGGAUUAGGUAGUUGGUGGGGUAAAGGCCUACCAAGCCGACGAUCCUUAGCUGGUCUGAGAGGAUGAUCAGCCACACUGGGACUGAGACACGGCCCAGACUCCUACGGGAGGCAGCAGUGGGGAAUAUUGGACAAUGGGCGAAAGCCUGAUCCAGCAAUGCCGCGUGAGUGAUGAAGGCCUUAGGGUUGUAAAGCUCUUUUACCAGGGAUGAUAAUGACAGUACCUGGAGAAUAAGCUCCGGCUAACUCCGUG